RNAcentral lists this ribosomal RNA (2775 nucleotides) under Triticum aestivum (bread wheat). Its description in RNAcentral is "partial small subunit ribosomal RNA". Lineage: Eukaryota; Viridiplantae; Streptophyta; Magnoliopsida; Poales; Poaceae. The record is from RNAcentral.
AUGGCCGAGAUGAUCGCGAUAUCGCUCUCGGCGAAGGUCGCCGCAACGCUGUCGCGCAGUGCGGUCGUCGACAUCUCCUCUCUCGUGGCCGUCCGCUCGGGCAUCGCCGCCGCGGCGCGGGACCUGGAGCUCCUCCGCGCGUUCCUCCGGUUCGCCGACUCCCGCCGCGGCGCGGACGCGCUCGCCUCCGCCUGGGUGGACCAGAUCCGGGACGUCGGCUUCGAGCUGGAGGACGCCGCGGACGAGUACGCCUUCCUCUCCGGCGGCGGCUUCGUCCGCGCCUGCGCUAACUUCGGCGCGUGGCUCGCUCUGGCCAGACGGCUAGGCAAGGCGCGGGUGAGGCUCCGCGACCUGUCGGACGCCAAGGAGCGGUACGGCAUCCGACCGGCCGAGGCCUCCGCGUCCAGCUCCGCUCCCGACGGCGGCACCGCGGCCUUCGUAGGCCGGAAGCUAGCGGAAGCAGCACAUUUCUUGCAGGAUGGGGAGAUCGUCGGCUUCGCGGCGCACAGAAGGUCACUGAUGAAAUGGCUCACGGAGGACCUUGACUCCCGGCGGUCGCUGGUCGCCGUGUGCGGGAUGGGCGGCGUUGGGAAGACCACUCUGGUCACCAGCGUGUACAAGGAGGUCGCCGCAAGCCGCCACUUCGACUGCGCUGCGUGGGUGUCCGUCUCCAAGAACUUCACUACGGAUGACCUUCUAAGGAAAAUUGCCAAAGAACUCCACCGGGACGCUCGGGCCGGCAUGCCAGACAUUGACGAGAUGGACUACCGGUCGCUGGUGGAAGCUUUGCGUGGGCAUCUCGCCAAGAAGAGGUACUUGUUAUUGCUGGAUGAUGUCUGGCAUGCCGAUGCGUGGUAUGAAAUACGCAAUGCGUUGGUUGAUGAUGGAAAAGGGAGCAGGAUAAUCAUCACAACACGCAGUCAAGAUGUUGCCUCUCUGGCAGCAUCCACCAGGAUCAUCAUGUUGGAACCGCUCCCUCAGCAAGAAGCAUGGUCCCUGUUUUGUAACACCACAUUCAGGGAAGAUGCCAACGGGGAGUGCCCGCAUCAUCUGGAGCAUUGGGCUUUGAAGAUUCUGGGCAGAUGUUGUGGUCUACCAUUAGCAAUUGUAUCAGUUGGUAAUCUCCUUGCAUUGAAGGAUAGAACGGAAUUUGCUUGGAAGAAUGUCCAUGACAGCCUUGACUGGAAUGAAAGCAGUGUUCGUGGAAUCGGGCAAGUGUCAAGCAUACUGAAUCUGAGCAUUGACGAUCUGCCUUAUUACCUGAAGAGAUGUUUGCUGUAUUGCAGUAUAUACCCUGAAGAUUUCUUGAUCAAAAGGAAAAUUCUGAUCAGGUUGUGGAUUGCAGAAGGCUAUUUUGAGGAGAAGGGCCAGGGCACAAUGGAGGAGAUUGCGGAUGAUUACCUGCACCAGCUCGUGCAACGUAGCCUGUUGCAGGUCACGCUAAAAAAUGAGUUUGGACGAGCGAAACGGCUCUGCAUUCAUGACCUGAUCAGGGAUUUGAUUUUGCAAAGGUCAGCAAAGGAAGGGUUCACUGUAUUCUCAAAAUGUCAGCCAACAUUGGAGUCAAGCAAAAAAAUCCGUCAUCUUAUACUUGAUCGAUGGGCAAGUGAUCAUCGACCAGUUCCAAAGAUGACAUUGCUUCGCUCCUUCAGCGCAUUUAAGUCAGAUAUGGAUUCUUCAGUCUUGUCUGGCUUUAGGUUAUUAACCGUAUUAAACUUAUGGUUCGUUCAGAUAGAUAAACUGCCUAGCUCACUGACCAAACUUCUUAAUCUGCGGUAUCUUGGCAUCCGUUCCACUCUCAUUGAAGAGCUUCCACAGGAUUUGGGACAGUUACAUAACUUGCAAACUUUAGAUACAAAGUGGUCCAGGGUCCAGAGACUACCACCAAGCAUAAGAAAGCUCGAUAACCUGCGCCACCUGAUAGUGUUUAGACGCCGAUCUGCAGACUUCAGGUCUCCGUUCCCUGGUACAGCAAUUGAAUUUCCAGAUGGGCUGCAAAAUCUUACUUGCCUGCAGACUCUAAAAUACAUUGAGGCUGAUGAGAAGAUGGUCAAAUCCUUAAAAAGCUUAAAACACAUGAAGAGCUUAGAGCUAUCUGGUGUGCAUGAGAGUAAUCUUAUUCAUUUGCCCUCAUCCAUCUCCACAAUGAGCGGCCUUCUGUGCUUGGGGAUUGUCAGUCGGGACGGUAAUGUAAUAUUGGACCUGGAGCCAUUUUAUCCACCCCCACUAAAGCUACAGAGACUUUCAUUGACAGGGAUGUUAGCCAAAGGUAAGUUGCCUUCAUGGUUUGGGCACCUUGAUAACCUCAUGCAGUUGCGGUUGUGUUCAUCUGAACUCAGAGGAGAUUCAAUUGGAUUGAUCUCAUCACUUCCCAGGCUGUUACAUCUUACCCUAAAGAAUGCAUACACCGACAAGAUCUUAACCUUUCCAGAAGGCAGUUUUCCAGUUCUUAAGAAGCUGAGCUUACAUGAGAUGCCUAAUCUUUCUCACGUCGAGUUUGGAAAAGGGAGUCUUGUACAUCUAAAUGUAUUAAUCCUAGGCCGUUGUGAUGAGCUAACUGCAAUACCCCAAGGCAUCGAGAACCUCACAGAGCUCAACAACCUUGAGCUUUUUGAAAUGCCAAGUGAGAUAAUACAAAAGAUUCAAGAUGGGGAAACAUUAGAGGGGAAUUAUGAAGAUUCUCAGCGCACUACAACUGUUAAGAACAUCCACUGGUAUAAUGGACGAUUGUUGCAGAAAACAAUUUACACCAACCUAUUCACUGUUCAAAUGUAG